AUGGGCGGGCAUAGGAGCGGGCAUGUGCCACGGGGUAAAUCCGAGGAGCUCGGUGGCUACCCCUGCAAUGGCCAUGGCGGACGGCGGUUCUCGGCCACGGCAAAAUACCUAACGAGAGCAAACGAGAGGGGAAACUGGGGAAAGGCAAGAGGAGAUCACGGCGGUGUCAAUGGCACCCUAGGGGAAGACAGGGGAGCUCAGGGAAACGCGGAUCAAAUGGCAAUGUCGCGGUGGCCGAAGGUUGAGGAAGACGGAAACGACGUCGAUCUGGGGGUGCUAGACUUGAUCUCAUUGGCGCAGACGAAGUAG
This 309-nucleotide ribosomal RNA is filed under the name Triticum aestivum (bread wheat). Its description in RNAcentral is "partial small subunit ribosomal RNA". Lineage: Eukaryota; Viridiplantae; Streptophyta; Magnoliopsida; Poales; Poaceae. The record is from RNAcentral.